Molecule: non-coding RNA, 77 nt
Filed under: Gammaproteobacteria bacterium
Lineage: Bacteria; Pseudomonadati; Pseudomonadota; Gammaproteobacteria
Source: RNAcentral
UUCCGCCUAUGCGCCGAUUUGAUAUCAGCUUGCGGGCGCUUUAAAAAUACCGCUAAAGAGAGCCAACCUGCUUUAGC